Biomphalaria pfeifferi is the source of this 1176-nucleotide non-coding RNA. NCBI's taxonomy places the organism in Eukaryota, Metazoa, Mollusca, Gastropoda, Planorbidae. The record is from the annotation of a GenBank genome assembly.
CACAACGCAUCCCACGACCCAAUGAAAAAAAAAAGGAAAACUUAAAGUUAAAAAUUCGUUGAGCUGAGCCGGCCUUAGGCAUAGGAAACUCAGGCAGCCGUCUAGAGCCUCAGAUUGAUUGGAGACUCGCACAUGAUUCAAGUUUUUUAGAGACGAAAUAGCGAAACGUGUCCCUUGUUUUAGUCUUGGAGUGCACUAGGCUAUUAGUGUUGGAGUGCACUAGGUUUUUAGUGUUGGAGUGCACUAGGUUUUUAGUGUUGGAGUUCACUAGGUUUUUAGUGUUGGAGUGCACUAGGUUUUUAGUGUUGGAGUGCACUAGGUUUUUAGUGUUGGAGUCCACUAGACUGUUAGGGUGCACUAGGUUUUUAGUGUUGGAGUGCACUAGGUUUUUAGUGUUGGAGUGCACUAGGUUUUUAGUGUUGGAGUGCACUAGGUUUUUAGUGUUGGAGUGCACUAGGUUUUUUGUGUUGGAGUGCACUAGGUUUUUAGUGUUGGAGUGCACUAGAGUGUUGGAGUGCACUAGGUUUUUAGUGUUGGAGUGCACUAGGUUUUAGUGUUGGAGUUCUCUAGGUUUUUAGUGUUGGAGUGCACUAGGUUUUCAGUGUUGAAGUGCUCUAGGUUUUUAGUGUUGGGGUGCACUAGGUUUUUAGUGUUGGAGUGCACUAGGUUUUUAGUGUUGGAGUGCUCUAUGUUUUAGUGUUGGAGUGCUCUAGGUUUUUAGUGUUGGAGUGCACUAUGUUUUUAGUGUUGAAGUGCACUAGGUUUUUAGUGUUGGAGUUCUCUAGGUUUUUAGUGUUGGAGUGCACUAGGUUUUAAGUGUUGGAGUGCACUAGGUUUUUAGUGUUGGAGUGCUCUAUGUUUUUAGUGUUGGAGUGCACUAGGUUUUUAGUGUUGAAGUGCUUUAGGUUUUUAGUGUUGGAGUGCACUAGAUUUUUAGUGUUGGAGUGCACUAGAGUGUUGGAGUGCACUAGAGUGUUGGAGUGCACUAGGUUUUAAGUGUUGGAGUGCACUAGGUUUUUAGUGUUGGAGUUCUCUAGGUUUUUAGUGUUGGAGUGCACUAGGUUUUAAGUGUUGGAGUGCACUAGGUUUUUAGUGUUGGAGUGCUCUAUGUUUUUAGUGUUGGAGUGCACUAGGUUUUUAGUGUUGAAGUGCUUUAGGUUUUUAGUGUUGGAGUGC